RNAcentral lists this long non-coding RNA (1238 nucleotides) under Jatropha curcas. Its description in RNAcentral is "long non-coding RNA (JCUR_LNC002909)". The record is from RNAcentral. Lineage: Eukaryota; Viridiplantae; Streptophyta; Magnoliopsida; Malpighiales; Euphorbiaceae.
CCAUCUUCGUCUUUAUCCCAUCUCCAAGCACUAUGCUUCCUUUCUCUCUGCUUCAAAACUUUCUUUAGUUCUCUCUCUCUCAAUUCAUAAGCGAAUCAAUAAUUUUAUCCUAAAUUUAAAAAAAUUCUAAGUUUUUCAAUUAAUUUAUUAUUCUUAACAGAGAUGAUGAAUCUGUCAGUAUGAGUGAUAGCCAAGAUAACCAGAGGCGGAGCAACCAUGGCAGACAAGUAACGGAGCUGAAACAGGUGCAAACAAAGGAACCCAAACAGAGUGGCCGUGUUCGGUUGGUGCUAUCAGAUGGGUCACAUUUACAAUAAGCCAUGUUAGACAAUCAGAUUAAAAAAUCUAAAUAUUAUUGUCAACUUUAUUUUUUUUACUUGUAGCUAAUGUUCUUCUUCUGCUUCAUAUUCUUUGUUUUCAAAUGUCAUGGCUUUUUUUUUUUUUUUUUCCUCUCUUGAAUUAGGGGUUUUGGGGGUCUAAAUUCAAAUGGAUUUUCCAUAAAACAAAUUGAUUUUCUAUUAAUGGUGUUGAUUUUUUUAUUAACCUGUCCAAUGAUUUUUAACAAGAAAUUUUUUUAUUAUUAUUUUUAGAUAUUAACAAUGUGUAAUAGUUUCCUGCCCUUAUAGACUCAAACUUUCUAACUUGGAAUUUUGAUUCUUAGCUAUAAAUAAUUAGUAAUUGAUUGGAAAAAUUUUUAAAUUUCUAAGUGGAGUUUAAUUUAAUUGAAAAUUUGUUUGUGGGUAAUUACUGCCAGGAAAUGAUUUGGAGCUAAGAUUGUGAUGCAGUUGCCAAAGGAGAUGUUUAAGAAACCCAAAUUGAGGAAUAAUAUUUGAAGGUCUGAUACUGGCGAUAGUAGUGGUGAUUCGUAAAAACCAGCAUUCUCAAAGAGAAAUAUCGACAUCUACGGCUCAUGAAUAGAAAACAAGCAUCCAAAAAUGAAGGAUUUGACAUGUAGUUUUAUGUUUUUACGUUCACUUAAUGAAGGAAAGAGAGAAAAUUGGGUGGUGAAGUUAACAAGAAUUUAUGUUGUGGUAGAGUCCGCGUCAGACACUUCUUUUAUAAUGUUUGGUGGGUCUCAUAAUAGUCUUUUAUAACUAAAAUACAUAUUGUGGUAGAGUCCACAUCAGACACUUCUUUACCAUCACUCUCUUUAUAACGCGUGCAUUUCAAUUUGCAUUUUCAAACAUGGCAAGCUAUGCAAUUAUUAUAAAAAGUAAAAUUCAAGGAGUCACAGUGCG